AGUCCUGUAGCUCAACGGUGGAGCAUCUGUCUUACAAACAGAGGGUUGCGGGUAUCUCCUUCGGAGACGCUACGCGAACAAAUCCUGCCAGAACUACCA
This 99-nucleotide transfer RNA is filed under the name Scytolyngbya sp. HA4215-MV1. RNAcentral's name for it is "tRNA-Val". It matches the Rfam family "tRNA". From Rfam's summary of the family: Transfer RNA (tRNA) molecules are approximately 80 nucleotides in length. Lineage: Bacteria; Bacillati; Cyanobacteriota; Cyanophyceae; Leptolyngbyales; Leptolyngbyaceae. The record is from RNAcentral. RNAcentral also lists the same sequence under 1 other name.